RNAcentral lists this ribosomal RNA (243 nucleotides) under uncultured bacterium. RNAcentral's name for it is "partial 16S ribosomal RNA". It matches the Rfam family "Bacterial small subunit ribosomal RNA", at positions 28 to 263 of the family's 1533-position model. The record is from RNAcentral.
GACGAACGCUGGCGGCGCGCUUAACACAUGCAAGUCGAGCGAGAACCAGGCCUUCGGGCCUGGGACAGCGGCGAACGGGUGAGUAACACGUGAGUAAUCCACCCUCGGUACCGGAAUAGCCCGGGGAAACCCGGGAUUAAUGCCGGAUGGCCCAUUUACCCUUCGGGGUUUAAUGGAAAAGAUAGCUUCGGCCUUCGACCGAGGACGAGCUCGCGGCGGAUUAGCUUGUUGGCGGGGUAACGG